Small nuclear RNA from Marmota flaviventris (yellow-bellied marmot), 107 nucleotides. The record is from RefSeq and is a predicted model, not a curated record. NCBI's taxonomy places the organism in Eukaryota, Metazoa, Chordata, Mammalia, Rodentia, Sciuridae.
GUGCUUGCUUUGGCAGCACAUAUACUAAAACUGGGACAAUACAGAAAAAAAUAGCAUGGUCCCUGAGCAAGGAUGACACCCACAUUUGUGAAUCAUUCCAUAGUUUU